AGCUAUGUCCCUAGCUCUGGUAACAUUUAUUUUGCAAAGGCUAGGUUCAGACUUUAAAUCCUCCUGUCAGCCUCCCAGAGUGCCCGUUUUCCAGCACAGUCACCUUGCCUGCUAGAUACCUGCAUUUCUAAACAGCUGCUGGCUGCCACUGGUGCUGCAGGUGAGUGUACCUUGGUCUGAGUAGUAAGCUUUUGUCUAUAGGCUUCUGCCUGGGUCAGUCACAGGGCAUUGGGUAGAUUUAAACCACUUUCAAUUCCUUUGUGCAAGGCUGAGACAGAUUAUUCAAAUCACUUCCCUUUGGAGACCGAGUUAGAGGGAAGUUAAGAGAUUUCUUGGGGAAUGUCAAGUACUUGAUGGUAUCACAUUUCACUUCCAGGGACAGUGCAGAGUGAAAAGAAGUCGGAGGUUAGAGAGCCUUAGGUAUAACUCUGGGCCCAAUAUUGGUCAUUCUGUGUUUCAUUAGGGGUGAUGUCUGCUUUGAAUGAUUGUUAAUGGUGACAUAAACUAAGAGGGGCUUAGUUUUCUUCCUCUCUCUUUUUUUUGUCUUUGCUAUGCAGUUCAGGCUGGCCUUGAACUCAUUUUGUAGUCCAGGCUGGUCUUGAACUCACGGUGAUCCUCCUGCCUCAGCCUCCCGAAUGCUGGGAUUACAGGUGUGCACUACCACAUCUGACUAGAGGCUUAUUUUUCACACAUAACAAGAAGUCCUUUGUUGUUGUGGAGAUCUUUGGGUCAACUACCAGUCAUCAAGAACCAGGAGCAUUUUGUUAGGUCCAACAUGUCUACCACGGGAAAAGACAACACGACUCCUGGGGUCUUGUCUGCCUUUUCAUCAGGAAGAAGGGGCUGUCUCUGGGCCUGUGCCGCCUGGGGAUUCCCACUUGCAAGAAGUAUGGGAAAGAAAAGCCAGCACUUCCAGCCUGCGUUCUGGAGAGCAGAGGGAGAGGAGAGAUUGGAGAAGUGCUGGACCUGUUUGAGAAUGUGCUAAACAAAGGUACUAAAGAAAGCAGCUGAACUGAAGAAAAUGUGACUCAGUUCUGUUCCUUCAUUUUUUAGGAAUUACAGUUUUACUUUUUUGAGACAGGGUCUCACCACGAAGUCCAAGCAUGAACUCUGUAGCGAUCCUCCUACUUCAGCCUGUUGACUGCUGGGAUUACAGGUGUGCACCAGCUAAAAAUCAGGGCCCUACAGAGAUACGGUUCACAUUCCGUCAGAUUUACCCUUGUUAAGUGUGUGAUGCAGUGGUCACGCGGCCUCACUGAAUCGUGCAACCCUCCCCACGAUCACGUUUCCCACCAAGGAGCCUCAUGUCCAGGUGGUGAUAAUUCUUCAUUCUCUUUCCCGCCCAGUCUCAGGCACAUGCUGAUAUGCACAGUGUCCCUAAGGAUUUCUUUUAUUUAUUCAUUCGUAGUUAUUUUUUUACUGACUUGUUUACUAGGAGGAAUUCCAAGAUUAAUAGUGACAUCACUGAUGAAGAUACUGAAAUUCGAACACGAAAGUCUAGUAUGAGUUCAUCGUGUGCUACGGCUGCCAGUGAAACAACAACAACAAUGAUGAUAUUGUUUAUUGUGUGAACAAAUGUGGUUCUGUUCUAUGGAGAAUCAUAACAUGGGGGUAAAUGAUGGCGGAUCUAUAGCCUUAAAAUGCAUCUUCGAGGUUGCGGGAGCCAGCCUUCUCUAAACAGUCUCAAAGGACUGUGGGAUCUGAGUCACACUUGCUGUUUUAUGCUAGUGGGAGCCAAGCAGGAGGGUUCUACCCCUUCCACUGUGAGUAGGGGCAACUGGUGGGAAUGCAUUGAACUACAGCUCAAAGGCCAGGCUGAGGAGAGCCGGCAGCCUUGGCUGCAUAACAAAUGAAGGUUUACUUUGGAGGGGGAAUGGGCUGGGGGAGGGCCUUGCCUCGGAAGUGUCCACCUGAAGGAAGAAGCUGAUGGACCUUAUGGACCCAGAAGGAGCUGUGGAUCAACAUGAGGGAAACUGACAGUAGUCAGAACUCUAUUUUUUUUUUUUUUUUUUUAAAUUUUUAGUACCAGGAAUCAAACUCAGGACCUUGCGCUUGCCAGGCAGGAGUUUGUGCCACUGAGCUAUGUCCCUGGCCCCGGCAGAGAUCAAACCAGGCUUAUUUGAGAAGAUGGAUACCAGGACCUUCCUGGCCUCUGAAGCAGGCGUUGUCACCUGUGAAUGGAUCAGUGCUUUAAGAGCAUCCCACAGGGCGUGUGAUCUCCCUGAAGGAGAACUGGAACUCAUGCACGGGUGAACUACAUAGCUGGCCUUGAACUCACUAUGUAGCCCAGGCUGGCCUCAAAUUUACAGCAAUCCUCCUGUCUCAGCCUCCCAAGUGCUGGAAUUAUAGACAUGAGUUACCACACCUGGCCCUGACUUGAUUUUCAACUGAAGUGCUUUUCUGUAUGUGUGUGAGUGAUGUGAGCAGCAUUUAUACCUAGAGCUCAUGAGCAAAUGGCCAUUCACACAAGUGCUCCUUUGGUUGGUGUUUAUCUGUAGGCUGUGUGCCGUCCAUCCAUCCCCACUGUGGGGUCUGGUUGCU
Long non-coding RNA from Cavia porcellus (domestic guinea pig), 2541 nucleotides. RefSeq lists it as uncharacterized. The transcript is spliced from 4 exons. The record is from RefSeq and is a predicted model, not a curated record. NCBI's taxonomy places the organism in Eukaryota, Metazoa, Chordata, Mammalia, Rodentia, Caviidae.